UUUGUGCUCAAAGUACAAAUGAGAGUCGGUGGCUGUGAGCAUCCUGCCUGUCCUUGCGCGUACCCCCUGUUUACACAGCAGGAAGUAGGCUGGGAUCCACUGAGUCAUUUUGGGGGGUUGGGAGCUCGCGCUGAAUGCUCGGGCUUGCAAGUGGCAAUAUUUUCUAAUUUGCCCUUGCAAUGCAGGUAACUGGGAAGGUUGAAGAGGCGCUUCCCAGUAUCCACAAACAGGAUGACAAUGACAGUAAUUCUGGAAAAAAGUGCAGGUGCAAAGUCUGAAAUGAAAACAGAGCUGACACCAAGUUAGAAUCAUCAAGGUUGGAAAAGAACCAAGUUCAUCUAGACCAACCUUUGGCCACCAUGUUAACUAAACUAUAGCACUAAGUGUUAUAUCACUUCUCUGGACAGCCAGUUCUAAUGCUUUUUAACCCUUUUAGUCAAUAUAUGCUUCCUGCUGAAGAAUUCACCUUCAGUAUCCUUCACCCAGGAUCUCAAAAGUAUCUUAUUUCCCUAAGGCUCACAACAUCUUGUGUGGUACUAUUCCAUUUUAUAGAAGGGUAAACAGAUGCUGGCAACAUGACCAGCAAAGGCACAGAGGACAGUGAACUUCUCUAGCCCUUACACACAGCCCAAGCUGCAGCAAAGCCACCCUGUGCACUGUGCAGACAUGUUACCUGAAGUCAGGUGGGAGACCUUUUCUGGGGAGAGAGGCUUUUCUGGGAGAAGUACUUACUCUUCUCAUUGUUAUCUGUUCUACUUUGACUCCUUCCCUGUCCCGAUUUGUACCAAGUUGGGGCCAGCACUGAGCACAGUGCCUGCAAAUGGAUUCUGGUCUGCCUGCUUUAAUAUGGCUUUUCAUUGCCUGGGGGAGAUAGAUCCUAGCUUUUAUUCAGAUCCCGGAUAAUCCUGUGAUGCAGAAAGUGAGUGGGCAAAACUGGGAAUGAAAGCCAACGCAUGCCAAUGCUCAGGCCGUUUAUCAUCUGUCUUACAGCAAAGGACAAAAGUGGAGGUAGCGGAUGAAAAAUGAGGAGGGAGCCAAAGUAAACAACUUUAGAGAGGUAGGAGGUACAUGAAGAAGAGAACGGAUCAAUAGCUGCAAUGCCAGGUCAGGCUCACCCAGGGGAAAGUGCUCUCAAGGGACCAUACCCAGAGAAUGCAGAGGUCCUAAAACCAGGCCCCACCAUAAUAACAGCCUCAUCAGCUUUCAAAGGACAAGAGGUAAGAGUGGUAAGUUCAAUACUUGUACAGCAGCUCAAUAUAUCUAACCACAAGACUAUUGAAAUUAUUCUGCUUUUUUGGCAUGAUUGUGGACUAGAAGGACAUGGAAUUACUGAUCUUCCUAAUAAGAUUAAUUAAUUCUGAUAAAAAUAAAUUAUUUAUCCCUCACUGCCUGUUUUUCAUGGUUUAGGAAUGAUACUUCCCAAUUCAGUGCCCUCACCAAGACUCUCAAAACACAUGCCACUCUCACUCACUGCCCCAUUUUCCCAUCCCCCUCCCUGCUGCAGCGGGAUGGAGGGGAGAAUAAGAAGUGCAGAAGGCAAAGAUGACAGGCUGAGAUAAGAACAAUUUACUGGAAACAGCAAUGAGAUAAGAAAACGAACAGUAACAGCAACAAUGUAUGACAGAGGGUAUAAGAAGAGAAACUAUUCACACAGAAAAAAGCCUUCCCAAUAAUAGACAAUACUGGAUGGAUCCCAUCACCAUGUUUUCUCCACUGGAAGGAAUCCCUUCUCCCUGCAAGAGUCCCUUUUCCCAAACCCAGACAGUGAGGUGAGGUAAUAUAGAAUAACCUCUGUGUCCUAACCAUGCCCCUCCCAGCUAUGGCAAAAAAUUAACUCUGUCCUGGCUGGAACCAGGACACCCUUUUACAAGCUUGGUGGUGUUCAUAAUUAUUACCCAGAGUCUUUUAUCAUGCAGGAUAGUCUACCUUGCUAAAGAGCACCUGAUGGAGAGGGUGCAGAGCAGAUGGGCAAAUAGAUAGAGCAACUUCAUCAUGGUCCCUUCUUGCAUGGUAGCCUUUAUGAAGGAAGAAGCACACUUCUUUUUUUUUCUCCCCUUUUUCUCAGGGUAUAGCAAAGUGACAUUAAUCUGCCAUGAUUGAGAUAUCAGUUUGGUUAGCAGGCACGAAGCAACCUUAAGCAAAAGGGCAGAACAGCUUGAGAACUGUUGGUUGUUAGUGUUUGGUAACAACCUGAUCGAGAAGCCCUGAAGUGGUUCAAAUCACAGACUGCCUGCUAAGUGGUCUUCGGGGAGGCUGCUCUGCAUCUAAUCCUGCUGAGAGAAAUAUGAACGGGAGGAGACUGGAGAUCAAUGUAGGUGCCUUGUUAGGGAUAUUAACUACCUCACCUUCACUUCUAACUCCUGCAGCAUGACAACUCUAUUCCCAGAGGCCCAGAGGAUUCUGCUGGGGUCUGUAGCGAAGUCUGUUGAAAGCAGGAGAAUUGACAUUUUGCUUAUUGUCUCAACUGCUUUGACAUCUCACAGGCAGUACAAAUGAUCACUUAUGUAAAGGUUAUUUGAAUAAAGGUAACAUCCCUUGGUGUGACUUAACUGUGAAAGUAUUCCAGUUCCCUUUAGAAGUCCCUCUGAGAUUUCCAGUAUCCUAAAAUGUGCAUGUAUUUCUAAUUUGCCUGUAGGGUAAGAAAAAGCUGGAAUCUAAAGUCUGCAGAGCUUUUCUGAACUGGGAAAAUACACUGAAACUAGGAUUAUUCAAAAAGGCUCUUCCAGGGCUACAAACAAGACAUGAAACAUUUGUGUGUCAGAGAGCUGGGGUGGGAGCAGCCAGGGAGCUGCUGGAAUGAGUGCUCCUGCUCAAAGAGUUACUGGGUAAGUGAAGGAUUUGCUCUGCAGCAGGAGCAGAGCAAGGGCUGCCCACUCCCCAGUGUCAUGGGAAGAGUUUCUCCAGCAGUGUGGGAAAGGGGUGCUUUUGCGAGAAUUCAUAGAAUCACAGAAUCAGCUGGGUUGGAAGGGACCUCAGAGAUCAUCAAGUCCAACCCUUGAUCAACUAUCGCUGCAGUUACUAGACCAUGGCACUAAGUGCCACAUCCAGUCUCUUUUUAAAAAUCUCCAGGGAUGGAGAAUCCACUACUUCCUUGGCCAGCCCAUUCCAACGUCUGACCACCCCCUCUGUAAAGAAAUUCUUUCUAAUAUCUAACCUAAACCUACUCUGGCACAACUUGAGACCAUGCCCUCUUGUCUUGCUGAUAGUUGCCUGGGAAAAGAGACCAACCCCCACCUGGCUACAACCUCCUUUCAGGUAGUUGUAGAGAGUGAUGAGAGUUCAUGCAGCUUGAGCUCUCAUUUAGCUUUUCAGUCUUUGUGAGCGCUUGGGUUAUGUUCAGAGGGUUUUCUCAGCAGCUCCCCUUAGGACUAGAAAUGUUGGGAAGGGAGACAUGCUGGUUUGGUUUUUUUGAGCCAACAUUGUACAAUUUUAGAUGAAACUGUUUAACUUGAUGAAAUGAAGUUUUAAGAAGCACGAUCAAAUAUCUAGGCUCAAGAGAGAUCAUGAACCUGGUGCACAUGUUGGUUCAUGUGUUGAUUACAAAAUAGCCUAUGAAGAUGUAUCAUAUGAAAAUCAUGUGAGGGUCACAUUGUAGUUAUGUGAACAGAUUUCUUAUUGCUCCUUUCAAAAGAGUUUCUGCUGUGACACCGAAGUCUCACCAAUAUGUUGAAAAGAAGCCCAUAUUUGUGCAUUCUGUGCAAUGUAGCUGAAAAUCUUUGUACCUGAGUCAUAAUAUUCCUUAGGAAGCUUUUCUUACUAGGCCAUGGACCAGAAAUCCUGAUUUACUUUAAAGACAGUAAAACCUGAGCCUACUGCUGUUGCACAGAAAAAUUUUCAUUGCUCUGGAGGUGCUCACAAGGUUUCCAUCAGAAAGGUGCAACAUUUAUAUCACCUUUCACAACAGAAGAUCUACACUCUCUACUGACACAGAAAAGCCUAGUGUGGGGAAGAGAGCUGGUGAUUUUUUUUCUGUGUAUUUUAGUUGUAAGGUUUUGCUAGAGCUCUUUUUUAAAAUUAAAAUGCUGUACCAUAUAUACAUGAAGAACAUGAGCUGAUGCCAAGCUAUAACAGUCAAGCUAUAGCAGUCAUCUGGAAUUGCCUGUUGGAUUCCUGCUUGCGGUAAAUUAGUGUAUGAUGAUUUUUAUAACAAAUUAUGAAAUGCCAAGUAAUUAUUAAUUAUUGGACACUUCUUAUACAGUAUUGCCUAUCAAUGAGUGACUCCAUCUGGUCUGAAACUAUUGCAAAUACUCUAACGCAAGACUGUUUAAAAGAGUAAGAAUGACUUCAUAACAUGGAAAGUAAAAGCAUGGAAAAAUAGAAAAGAACAACUAUUUCCAACUUUCUUUUUUUUUUUUUUUUAAUUUGCUUGGUGCAAAGUUUCAGUGACAUUCCUGUUAGACUUUUCAGAGAUCUCUAAGGGACCGGCCCUCCAUGCAGAGCUGAUUGCAUGAAGUUGCUUGUGAUGCAGACUGCCUGCCCAUCCGUGUUCUUACCGACAGGUAGGUCCAUCUGCUGUCCAAGAGGAGUGGACUAGCAAUGAGAUAAGAAAUUGUUUUGCUCCCAUCGUCAUCAUUAACAGGCUUCUGUUAGACUUUCUGUGUUGAGGAAUUGUAAUUAUUGUUAGCACUGUUAAGAAUACUGACUGGGCAAUACUGACUGGCGCUGAAGUCGCAUUUAUUGACUUCUCUGACAGUCUUUACAGGAGCUUGACAUCAGGCCCAAUUUGUUUCUAAGUGUCCCCAAAAUUGGUAUGCUAGAUCAAUCCUCACCUUGCUUGCUGUAAAUUUCUUGCUUUUUGUCAUAUUUCAGCAUUUGCCCUCCAACAAGAGCAGGAGGGUUCCUUUGCUGGAUAUGUUAGCUGACCUCCCACAUACCAUCUUAAUUUCUUUCUAACAAGGCAUUUCAAAUGUAAAGUUGCAAUUUAGUUGCUGAGAGGCAUUUGAGCAUGCUUAGUGAUACCAGAAACAAGGAACUUUGCUGAUGUGCCUAUUUGUUACCAUAAUCCCACUGUUCAAGUGAAUGUGAUCGGCUGGCCCAGCUUCAUGCAAGAGUUGCUUAUACACAAAGCUAUGAGGCUUCCCAGGUUCUUUGUGUAAAUAUUUUCCGUUCCAAAUUGAAAAACAGGACUCCAUGUCUGAGUUGGAUCUCUCAAACAUCACUGAGUCAGUGUGGAUGAUUCCUCCACCUUUUGGGUUUCAUUGUGAUUUGUGUUUAAUGAUACACUUGUGGCUUUAGUUAAGAAAGGAUUUUCCUUCAGUUACACAUCUGCUAUUGACAGCCAGCUAAUCACAACAAUUUGAAAUCUUUGGGCCAGAAACACCACUGGUGUCAUUUCAGUUGACGUGUACUGAUUUCCUGAAGGCAGCUGAGGAUGUGGCAAGAUACACAGACCUGUCUUGCUACUUCUUUUACCUAUCGAUGGUUUGAGUGAUCAGCUUCUACUGAAAGGCCAGCUUUUUUUUUUUUCUUGGACCAUAGUAAAUCUGUAGUCCCUUUUCCCUCUUUGUUGGUUUUUCCCUCUUCUUAAUCAUGUGUGAUGUUUGUUUUGGUUUCGUUUUUUUGCUUCCUGUUUGUUUGUGAUCUGUUUUCUGAAUCUUCCUCUUAAUUCCCUGUUUUACUCAUUUCUCUGUACUUCCUGGAAAAAGUGUUUUGUUUUUUAUUCCUAGGCAACAUCUGACCAUCUCUUCUGUCCUUUUUGCUUGUCACCAUACUCCUUGCCAGAGUCAGCACAAUGAGAAACAAAUGUCUUGCUUGUCAGUGCUUUUUCCACUUCCGGCUGUUCAGACUGCAAGGGUUAAUUCUCACUCAAAAUUCAGUCACAAGAACCCUAAAGAGGGAUUUUUCACACUUGCCAAAAUAUCCUUCCUCCAUUAAAACUCCUUUUGAAAUAAAAUUAUGAGAUUUAAGUCUAACCAUGCCCAGGUGAGUAAUCAAAAGAAUUUUCUCUAUUACUCCCCGGAAGUGCUUUUGUUUUCCGCUGAACAAAACAAAUUUAUUUCUUGCCAGCCUCCAGCUGUCUGAGAAGCAAAUCACAGCAAUUAACAGGUAAGACUGAUAUUCUGCAACUCGGUUGCCACUUGACUGCAGGAUUUCAUCAGCACUUAGCUGCUUUUUUCACUUCCUUGGGGUAAUGUUUCUGAUGGUAAUCACCUCAUCUAUCAAUUACAGUGGGUGUCUUCUCAGCCAGGGUUGGGACUUUGCAAACUCUCGUCACUGUGAAUAGUCACACUCACACCAAGAGAAGGUAUGUCUGGUGUUUUAGGAGAGCAAGAAAAAUGCAGAAAUUUGGUAUGGAGCAUUUCUACCACCAAAGGAAUGACAGACAGAGGAAGAACUGAAUGGAGAAACACGUCCAGGGAAUCAGGGAAACAGGGAAACAUAGGGAUCAGGGAAAUGGCAAGUUUACUUUUGAGUUGCCUAUUGAGGCAACUUCCAACAACCCUGGCCUUUGCCCAGGACAAUCCGCCCACUUAAAGUUUUCUGCAUGUAAUUUUUCAUGCUGCAAAAUGAUCAGGGAGUCAGAUGAGGCCAAGUGCAGCUCAUUUAGAUUUGUAUAGCUAAUUUAAAUAAACUCAGUGGUUGUCUGUACACCAGAAGAAAAAAAUAAUUUUAUUUCAUGGCAGUUUUGUGUCAGUAGGACUGAUAUUUUUCCAAGUUCUAUUUGCACACAGCUGUCUCAGCUGUCCUGAGGACCUGUGACCACCUUUACUCUCAUAGCAGAUAGGAGCUCACAGUCCCUAAGAAACUCAUUGGUUCAGUUUUUGGCUUGAAGGUAAGAUGACAUAUUCCAAGGAAAGAUCCAGACUUUCAGCAGAUGCAACUAGUGAGUAAUAGCUAUUCUAGAGCCUAUCAUGCACGAAUCCUGGCUUUCUGCUAGAAGUAACUGUUUUUAUGUAUAUAUUUUUUGUUUGAAUCCUUGGCACCCAGGGACUGACUGGAUUCUGUCGUAUCCCAGAAAGCAAGAAGAAAAGGGAGAAUUUAGCAGUUUUCUCUCACUAACAAACCAUGCUUUUGUUGAUUUAUUGUUUAUUUUGCUUCUACUUUAAAAUGUGGUGCUUAAGAACUGUAUUUUAAUUGCAAAUGAAAGAAACAUAGCCUUCUUGCUUCCGUGGGAUGAAUGCCUGCCUUCCAAGAAUGACUGAGAGGAGAAGGCUCUUUUGGCUUUCCCCUCAGAAACCCUGGGGAAGAUGAGGAGCGUGGACGAGCUCAGUAAUGCUGGGGCUCCGUUGGGCGGCCGGCGGGUGUUGUGACUCAGCCAGCGUGGGAGGCUCCCUGGCACCGGCGCUGUGGCUGUGUGGGUGGUGGAGAGGAGGCUUGUGAGAGUGCCGCGCCGUGUGGGAUCAUCCUGCAACAGUUCCUCUGAGCUGGGGUAUCUCGAGGAGCCAUUAAAAGCAGGCUGGGGCCACUACCCUGUGUACAGGAUUUCUCCAUAACACGUUUUCCCUUCCCCUCUCUGAGAUCCGUGUUUGUUGCCAUAGUGAGGGGACAUAGCUCAGACAGCAAAUGCUUGCUUUUAUUUGACAGAAGUCUAAACAAAAAUAAGGGCAGAACAGUCCUGCAUAGUCCUAGAGGGAACCCUUCUCUGCCUUCAGUGUUUGCCUCUCAUCCAGUGAAAAUUCAUGCUGUUGCACGGAACCGUGCUCAGGAUGGCACACUGCAACCUGCCUUGGGGAACCCCACUCAGGACUGGAGCUAUUGAGACGUAACAGGAAAAGGGACUACAAAAAGAAGAUACAGGAAUAGAGGAAAGGUAGUUCAUUUCCAGGAUGAGAAGUGUAGAUGGUGUGUGAAGAAAGAGAGUUCAAGAAGUGUUUGGACAACACUCCCAGGCACGUGGUGAGAUUUUUGGUGUGUCCUGCGCAGGGCCAGGAGUUGGAAUCGAUGAUCCCAGUGGGUCCCUUCCAACUCAGCAUAUUCUAUGGUUCUGUGAUAUCUGUACUGCUCACAAUAGCUGCAAUAGCAUGCUAUGGCCUCUCCGAGGUGGAGGAGAACAAUCCCAUAGCCAGGGAGGAAGGACAGGUUUCUCCCAGGACUCGAGCUAGCAGUGCUGCGUUUGUGGACCUCUGGAGUGCUCUAACAUAGAGCUUGUCUGUGGUGCCUGCAUAUCCUAGGGGUCUAAGAAAAAGCUUGUGUUUGAUUCGUGUGCCCUGCACAUCAGCAACUAGGUUUUCCUGUCUACCAAGAUAUUUCUACACAGUUUUUAAUCUAAAUACCAGUAGAUAUGCGUAUUAUCACUUACCUAGCUAUCUCUUUCUCUGUUCUUACACAGAGAAAGACUCAGAGGUGGGCUUUUGCUCACCUCUGUUAAAUGACCGUCUUUAUGACAGUGCCUUGAAGGGAAGCCCUUCAAGGAGAAAGAACAAGAGUGCUAGUAAGAAGAAACUCAGUCAAAUAUCUCCUAAAAAGAAAAACAUCCAGGUACAGAAGGCAUUGAUCAUGCUUCCUGUGUGAUCAAUGGGAGUUUUGCCAAUGACACAAAUGGGAGUGAAUUGGCAGGAAAGAGAAUGGGAAAUAUUUAUGGAGAAGUGCAUCAGCUUUGCAUGUAUAGAAGAAAAAGCAGCUACAUUAGCAACUGUCCCAUUAGAGAGUACUCAAGGGAAUCAAGAUUCAUUGCUUCUAUCUUCCAGGCAUUAACUGUAAGUUUUUACUCUAACUUCCAAUUAGAAGAUUUAAUUGGGCUGAGUCCCUUUAACCCCCUCCCUGUAUGCAAUGUAAUAGGCUCAAGACAGAAGUUAAGUUUAGAAGAAAUGAGAGAAGUCUCACACAGUAGAGUGUAUGAGGGUGUUCCUUCUUCAGAGACUGAGAUUCCUGCAAUCCCUCCCCAGCAAGUGCUCCCCAGCAAGGGCAGACCAAGAAGUGACACUGUCGUCAGUGUCUCCAGCUUGACAUGCAUUUAAACAUGACCUUCUCUGCUGCACAUACAGCAGACAAGGGGUAUCAGCCCUCAGCCAUCUCACUCAACCACAUCUUUGUCAUUACCAGGUUUGUGAAAAUUUUAUGAAGACUUACCAAGCACAAUGGGUGGGACAUUAAACGCAAUUUGCAAAUUUGGAGGCCCCUUCUGAAAACAGGAUCUCUGAUGGUAAAAGUUUGUGUGGGAAGAUACAGUAGCGUAAGUGGGAAUAGUCCAUGAUUUCUUGGGUUGGCAAGUGAAUAGUGAGUGCUCUUGAGGAUACUCCAGUGUGCUGAUUCCCUGCAGGACCUAAAACUGAUCCCUUGAAAGAGUGGAUUGGCAAUUGCAGCUGAAAGCAAAACUUACCAGAACACCAGAUACUGCAUUAGAUUUAAGCUUUCUGGAUUACCAGAAAGUUUUUCUGAUUAAAUAGAAGCAUAUUCCAUGACUCUACUAAUCAGCUAGGUUUCCAUAUGUGAUGUUAUCCUCUUCAUUAACCAGAUUUGUUCCUUCAUCUCAGUUCUCUAAAAUACCAACUUUGCUGAACUACUGAUUCUUACUUUCCAACAGCCAGUUAUGAAAAACUGUGGUUUUGAAAAUAUUGCUCUUCUGUGAGCAGUCUCAGCCUUCUGCAGUAAUGAUAUCCUAAAAUACUCCUGGAGAAAAAUGUCUACCCCUUUAUUACAGAAGCAGGUGCUCCUUUCAAUAGUAAAGGGACAGUUACUUACAUGGCACCCUUCUUUAUCAGUGACAUGGAAAAAUUAAGCAAUACUAAAAUAUGGUUGCAGCAAAGAUGUCUUCUGAUAUGUAAUUUUUUCCCUCUUUUAUGUAAAGAGCAUAUUUGUUUUUUACAUGAAAUAUAUUCUGAAUAUAGGAAAAGAAAUUGUUGCACCAGAAAAUAAUGCAGAGACACAAAUCAGAAUAAUAUGAAGAACUUGGUAACCAGAGGACUAAAACAGAUUAGGUAAUAAAAUGGGGUAAAAUGUAAUUGCACUUAAGGGAGAGUGAUGUAUCUUUUAAGGUAAACUGGGAAUUCAUAGGUUUGAAAUGAAAAAGGAGAAGAAAACUGGAGUGUGUCACUCAAUGACAGUGGUUGUAAGCAAUAAUUGUCAUGCAAUUGUGAAAAACACAAAUUUGAUGCUAGCAUAUGAAGCAUUUGCAGAAAAAAAAAAGAAAAGUAUAAAAGUCGUUGUACAAUAUAGAUUAUUGGAAAUAGUUCUGGCUAUCUGUGUGCUAGAAACAUGAAUUAAAAUUAGAAUUGGUGGAGGGAGUGAGGAUGGCCAGAGGAAUGAAGAUCAAAACAGUUGGUUGGUACAGCUUAGCAGACGGGCUGGGUGGAAACUGGGAGAACAUAUGAUUGUGCUCUAUAAAUGUGUAAAGGACAUAUGUAGUCAGAGUAAGACAAGCUAUAUAAGCAAAAGAAUCAUAUAAGCACAGAACAAAUAAAUACAUAUUUUAAGAGGGGAAAAUAGGAGAAGCCUGUUUCCAACUGCUGAUGAGAUUCUGGAACAGCCUCACGCAAGAGGUGGUUUCAGCAGUCUGAACACGGUGAGUUUAUGAGAAGUGCCUGAAGUUGCAGAAUAAAGGACGCAAGACUUAUCUUCCUAUUCCAGUUCAUAAACUGUGUUUCCUCACUUUCACAUACAAGUCAGCAAAGAAGAGACAACAAAGACUUACAAAAGGACAGGAACUUCCAACCAGCAGUCCUCACCCAUCCAUGUUUUCGAAAGAUGAACAGCCAUAGCCAGAUAACCAUGUGCAUGACCAUUGCAAUGGCUUUUCUUCAGACAGUGUGUAAAGAGUCACCGUCUGACACCAGGGAGUAAACUGUGUGAAUCACUGUCUUCCAGUUAAAUGUCAUCACUGCUGCAGUAUCUCAGGCAGCCACUUAUAGGAGGCAUCCUUGGUUGGGGCCCAGCAGCAGAAGCCUGUGCAGCAAAAAACAGACAGAGGGUCCUCCCUCUGCUGUACACAACAAAAUGCUGCAAAUGCAACAUUCAGUUGCUAAUGUGACAAACGACAAAUUCAAACUGUGUUUAACUGAUUCAAGCCUAUUAUGGAAAGUUUCUAGUCAAGGCAGCAAGUCCCUCUCUGGAACAAUUUCUGUCACAGAAGAAUCUAAGAACAGAAGUAAUAAAAAAUUAUUGGUUUAUAAUAAAAGAAUCAAAAUGUU
Molecule: long non-coding RNA, 11066 nt
Organism: Pseudopipra pipra
Lineage: Eukaryota; Metazoa; Chordata; Aves; Passeriformes; Pipridae
Exons: 3
Source: RefSeq, a predicted model, not a curated record